Molecule: small RNA, 555 nt
Filed under: Pongo abelii (Sumatran orangutan)
Lineage: Eukaryota; Metazoa; Chordata; Mammalia; Primates; Hominidae
Description: retained intron
Source: RNAcentral
GUAACCGGCGCCGCCCGGAGCCCGAGCCGCGCGGGCCCCAGCGACCCGCCCGCCAUGGGGGACGAGGACGAGGAUGAGAGCUGCGCCGUGGAGCUGCGGAUCACAGAAGCCAACCUGACCGGACACGAGGAGAAGGUGAGCGUGGAGAACUUCGAGCUGCUCAAGGUGCUGGGCACGGGAGCCUACGGCAAAGUGUUCCUGGUGCGGAAGGCGGGCGGGCACGACGCGGGGAAGCUGUACGCCAUGAAGGUGCUGCGCAAGGCGGCGCUGGUGCAGCGCGCCAAGACGCAGGAGCACACGCGCACCGAGCGCUCGGUGCUGGAGCUGGUGCGCCAGGCGCCCUUCCUGGUCACGCUGCACUACGCUUUCCAGACGGAUGCCAAGCUGCACCUCAUCCUGGACUAUGUGAGCGGCGGGGAGAUGUUCACCCACCUCUACCAGCGCCAGUAUUUCAAGGAGGCUGAGGUGCGCGUGUAUGGGGGUGAGAUCGUGCUGGCCCUGGAACACCUGCAUAAGGUGGGUGAAGACCUGGCCGCAGGCUGUUGCUGUGGAAAC